Molecule: ribosomal RNA, 253 nt
Filed under: uncultured bacterium
Lineage: Bacteria
Description: partial small subunit ribosomal RNA
Rfam family: Bacterial small subunit ribosomal RNA
Source: RNAcentral
AGGACGAACGCUGGCGGCGUGCUUAACACAUGCAAGUCGAGCGGAAAGGCCCUUCGGGGUACUCGAGCGGCGAACGGGUGAGUAACACGUGAGCAACCUGCCCUCAGCUCUGGGAUAGCUCCCGGAAACGGGAAUUAAUACCGGAUACGACCUAGGCCGACAUCGGCCAUGGUGGAAAGUUUUUCGGCUAGGGAUGGACUCGCGGCCUAUCAGCUAGUUGGUGGGGUAAAGCCUACCAAGGCGACGACGGGUA